GUAAGGAAUAUUGGUCAAUGGGGGCAACCCUGAACCAGCCAUGCCGCGUGAAGGAUGAAGGCGUUAUGCGUUGUAAACUUCUUUUGUAUGGGAAGAAUGACAGGGAUUUAUCCUUGGAGAGACGGUACCAUACGAAUAAGCACCGGCUAACUUCGUGCCAGCAGCCGCGGUAAUACGAAGGGUGCAAGCGUUAAUCGGAAUUACUGGGCGUAAAGCGCGCGUAGGUGGUUUUGUAAGUUGGAGGUGAAAUCCCCGGGCUCAACCUGGGAACUGCCUCCAAAACUGCAUGACUAGAGUACGGUAGAGGGUAGUGGAAUUUCCUGUGUAGCGGUGAAAUGCGUAGAUAUAGGAAGGAACACCAGUGGCGAAGGCGACUACCUGGACUGAUACUGACACUGAGGUGCGAAAGCGUGGGGAGCAAACAGGAUUAGAUACCCCUGUAGUCC
RNAcentral lists this ribosomal RNA (446 nucleotides) under uncultured bacterium. RNAcentral's name for it is "partial 16S ribosomal RNA". It matches the Rfam family "Bacterial small subunit ribosomal RNA", at positions 354 to 796 of the family's 1533-position model. The record is from RNAcentral.